GCACGCAUUGCGCCUCGAUUCUUCCCACAUCAAAAUCAAAAGCAGUGUUCCUUUUCUAAUGGAACAGUACCACUGCUCCUCUCUCUCCCCCCAUCCCCUCUUUCACCCUUUCCAAAUUUAGGGUUUCUCCUCCUCUGCCGCUAACACCGCGCGCCGUAAUUCUUGCUGCUUAAUAUGUAUACAUACGCACGCACAUGUGCGUGUAUGUUUAAUUCCAUCGAAUUUGUGUAUUUUCAAGAUUCUUCACAUCAAGACCGCUCCGUCAGAGUUGUUAAUCUUGGAUUUUCUUAAAUUGGAGGAGAAAAUCAAUUAAAGGGGUUUAGGGUUUAGCGAUUUGGUGUGAUAUUGAGAUGGAUUGUUGUGUAUCAAUUUCAGACAAAAUUCCAGAUCUUGAGAAAGCCCCGCGCGCAAUUGUUUCAAAUUAAUAUAAUACGUACUCCUAAUUCUCUAAUUCCUCGUAUAAAUAUAUGUAGUACAUAGUGGUGGUUAAUUUGUAUGUAUGGUAGUGUUUCCCUGAUGGUAUAUUGAACAAAUCUGUCUGACAAUUAGUAGCAA
This is a non-coding RNA of Sesamum indicum (sesame), 555 nucleotides long. NCBI's taxonomy places the organism in Eukaryota, Viridiplantae, Streptophyta, Magnoliopsida, Lamiales, Pedaliaceae. The record is from RefSeq and is a predicted model, not a curated record.